This is a long non-coding RNA of Electrophorus electricus (electric eel), 392 nucleotides long. Lineage: Eukaryota; Metazoa; Chordata; Actinopteri; Gymnotiformes; Gymnotidae. The record is from Ensembl.
AUAGAUUAAAUCACUUUUAGAGUGUCAUAUGAGGAUUUUCACAAUAGUAUUAUAACUCUGUAUCUCUCUUCACUGACAGGGGGAGGCAGGGCCAGAUGGUAGUCCAGGCACACCUGGAGAAGCUGGCAAGCCUGUACAUUUUCAAGAAGCCAUUAAGUAACAUUAUUUAACCAUCUGAGACUUCCCUUCACCAAACAAAAACUGUUUCUAUGUUUCCUUUUAACAGGGAACAAAAGGUAGACGAGGCCCUGCAGGAAUACCGGGUGCCAGGGGACCUCCAGGAGCACCGGGAUUACAAGGAACCUCUGGGGCUCCAGGGCCAGUGGUACAACUACAUUCUGUUUAAAACAAAUUGAACCUGACUUUUUAAAUUGACAUUUUAGGAUAAUCAC